CCUACGGGUGGCAGCAGUGGGGAAUAUUGCGCAAUGGGCGCAAGCCUGACGCAGCAACGCCGCGUGAAGGAAGAAGGCUUUCGGCUUGUAAACUUCUUUUCUCAGGGACGAAGCAAGUGACGGUACCUGAGUAAUAAGCCACGGCUAACUACGUGCCAGCCGCCGCGGUAAUACGUAGGUGGCAAGCGUUAUCCGGAUUUACUGGGUGUAAAGGGCGUGUAGGCGGGGGCGCAAGUCAGAUGUGAAAACCACGGGCUCAACCUGUGGCCUGCAUUUGAAACUGUGUAUCUUGAGUACUGGAGAGGAAGACGGAAUUCCUAGUGUAGCGGUGAAAUGCGUAGAUAUUAGGAGGAACACCAGUGGCGAAGGCGGUCUGCUGGACAGAAACUGACGCUGAGGCGCGAAAGCGUGGGGAGCAAACAGGAUUAGAUACCCGUGUAGUC
RNAcentral lists this ribosomal RNA (443 nucleotides) under uncultured bacterium. Its description in RNAcentral is "partial 16S ribosomal RNA". It matches the Rfam family "Bacterial small subunit ribosomal RNA", at positions 338 to 795 of the family's 1533-position model. The record is from RNAcentral.